GAUGAACGCUGGCGGCGUGCUUAACACAUGCAAGUCGAGCGGUGAAGCAGGAGCUUGCUCUUGUGGAUCAGUGGCGAACGGGUGAGUAACACGUGAGCAACCUGCCCCUGACUCUGGGAUAAGCGCUGGAAACGGCGUCUAAUACUGGAUAUGUGAUGUGACCGCAUGGUCUGCAUCUGGAAAGAAUUUCGGUUGGGGAUGGGCUCGCGGCCUAUCAGCUUGUUGGUGGGGUAAUGGCUCACCAAGGCGUCGACGGGUAGCCGGCCUGAGAGGGUGACCGGCCACACUGGGACUGAGACACGGCCCAGACUCCUACGGGAGGCAGCAGUGGGGAAUAUUGCACAAUGGGCGGAAGCCUGAUGCAGCAACGCCGCGUGAGGGAUGACGGCCUUCGGGUUGUAAACCUCUUUUAGCAGGGAAGAAGCGAAAGUGACGGUACCUGCAGAAAAAGCACCGGCUAACUACGUGCCAGCAGCCGCAGUAA
This 484-nucleotide ribosomal RNA is filed under the name uncultured bacterium. Its description in RNAcentral is "partial 16S ribosomal RNA". It matches the Rfam family "Bacterial small subunit ribosomal RNA", at positions 28 to 523 of the family's 1533-position model. The record is from RNAcentral.